RNAcentral lists this unclassified non-coding RNA (254 nucleotides) under Hevea brasiliensis (rubber tree). Lineage: Eukaryota; Viridiplantae; Streptophyta; Magnoliopsida; Malpighiales; Euphorbiaceae. The record is from RNAcentral.
CUUUCUCGACAUUCUUACUCGACAAGCAAGAAUCAGGAUCGCUAGCAUCAAAAGGACACCCAAAACCACACAAGUAAUUGUUAUUGCUAGCUUAGAAGCAUGGGACUUCCCUUUCUUCAUCACUUGAGAAGGGCACUUUGGUAGACCCAGUUCUGUUACUCCACCACAAAGCUUGGCAUUUCCGAUCAGUGACAAUGCACUUGCAUUUCUGAAAAGUCCUUUGGUUGGAACUUCACCCUCAAAAUUGUUAAAAG